AUACGGAGGGUGCGAGCGUUAAUCGGAAUUACUGGGCGUAAAGCGUACGUAGGCGGUUGGUUAAGUUAGAUGUGAAAGCCCCGGGCUUAACCUGGGAACUGCAUUUAAAACUGACGAACUAGAGUUGAGUAGAGGGGAGUGGAAUUUCAGGUGUAGCGGUGAAAUGCGUAGAGAUCUGAAGGAACACCAGUGGCGAAGGCGACUCCCUGGACUCGAACUGACGCUGAGGUACGAAAGCGUGGGUAGCAAACGGGAUUAGAAACCCCAGUAGUCC
Molecule: ribosomal RNA, 274 nt
Filed under: uncultured bacterium
Lineage: Bacteria
Description: partial 16S ribosomal RNA
Rfam family: Bacterial small subunit ribosomal RNA
Source: RNAcentral